Molecule: long non-coding RNA, 2514 nt
Organism: Capra hircus (goat)
Lineage: Eukaryota; Metazoa; Chordata; Mammalia; Artiodactyla; Bovidae
Exons: 3
Source: RefSeq, a predicted model, not a curated record
ACUGGCCUGGUAUAGUCCUUGGGGUCACAAAGAGUUGGACACAACUUAGCAACUGUACAACAACUAAGGCUUGAAGACAUUUUGUCUUGCUAAAGGCCACACAACUGUCAUGCUGGAAAGCUGUGACUGGGACCCAGGUUUUCUGACAUCUAGUCCAGUUCUCUAUCUCAAGAAGUAUUUAUUGAGUGCCUACUAUGUGCCAGGCACUGUUUUAGGUGCUGGAGAAACUGCAGGGAAUGGAAAAUAAAAUUCCCUGCCAUUCUGGGCCUGACAGUGGAAAGAGACAGGCACAGCAAUUCACAGGUCCCACAAGGGGCAGAGAACCAGCCCAAAGGCUCCACAACCAAGAACAGUGCCCCAAAUCAUGUCAAGCUGCAUCUUACACCAGGAUGGAGUCUGCACAGGCCCUUUUUGGUGUCACUGUCUUCAGAGUCCAAGCCAGAGAUGGGAGCAUCUGAGUGGCCUGGCCAGGUCGUGUGUUUUGCCUUGCAGAAUGGGAGCUGGGAAAGUGCAUUUCUGGCAUUUUCAGCAUGCAUAAUAGGAGGAUUUUUUCACUGACCCUUAUCUUGAUCUGGGUCCUCUGAGAAUCAAAUGCCAUAAUGGUUUUUGCCUGGGAGAAAUGCUUGUAUAGGAUAAAAGUGGAAGGAAUCGGGAAAGAGGAGUGCCUUCAGACCAAGAUGCAGGUAUAACGGGGAAAAGAGAGUGGGAGGGAAGGAGGCUUGGGUAGAAAGAGCUUCAGAUUGCCCUGCGAUUUUGGGGAUGACUCAAACAGGCUGAUGGGGAGUGCCCAGGCAAAGGGAGUCUGCUAAGGCUUCGUGCAUCAGACAGAAAUGGCUGGGUUCUGGUGUCCCCACCAUGCUUGGUCACUGGGAGAAGCCAAAGGAAGCGUAGCCUCAGGAAGAAUGUCACAGCUAGAGGUUCUCAGUCAGCUGUCCUCCCAGAAGCAGGUUCUCUUGAAGGGCCAGCUGAGUGGUGCACCUGCAUCACAGACACAGUCCCUGUUCAGCCCACUUUGAGUGCCUCCUGUGUGCCAGACAUUAUGUAUGUUAAGAUGGUCCCCAGGGACUCCCACAUGAUUGUGGAACAGGGCAGACUGUAAUCUUUCGUCAUCAAUUCAGAGUAAAGUGUCAGAGUUCAGAGGUGUCACUGACAGCCUCAUGGGAGAGCUUGACCACAAGUUGGGCAGAAAGACUGCAUAAGAUCUGGGUAGUUGUAAAAAACGGGAGGAAAUAACGUUGGAAAGAGAGAACAGGGGUCCAGAGAUUGGUGCAGUGGAUUAGCAAGGAGGUAAGAAGUGUGGAAAUAAUCUCUAAAGAAUAUUGAUUUACCUUAAAAUAUCUUUUUUUCCUGAUAAGAUGAUAAUAUUUGUUGUAAGAAUUCCAGUGUUGUAGGAAUAUAGAAUAUUGGCUUCUUUAGCUCCAUGACUUUGGGUAUUUACCGUCAUAUCCCUUGAAUCUAGUACAUUGGCUGUCAAGUAGUAGGUGAUCAAUAAAUAUUUGUUGAAAAAAUAGUAAAUGGAAUGAAAAUGAAAGGGCCAAAGAAUCUCACUGAUCAGAAAUUAGUAUGACAUGAUUAAUGAUUUGGUGAAUAUUUCUUUAGAGUUUUUCCUUUGUUUGUAUCAACAUACUUUACCCAAACAGGAUCAUACUAUUCAUUCAGCUCUACAACUUGCUUUUUUUCACUUGACAAUGCAGCUUAAGCUCAUUUGUAUGUUAAACACCUAGAAUUAAUGUCAUUCUUGUUAAUGACACUGUAUGGAUGUGCAGGACUUUAUUUUAUAAUCUCCUACUAGUGGAUAUCUGGGUUGUUUCCAACUUUUUGAUUUUACAUACAAUACUCCAAUAAGCUUCCUGUAAGCUUAUCUCUUGAGCACUUAUGAAUCUAUUUCUGUUGAAUGAAUUGGUAGAUGUGAAAUUGCAGAAUCAACAGGAUAUAAAUACUAACAUUGCAAAUAAAUCUUGCCUAAUUGCUUUCCAAAAGGUUAUACCAGUUUGCAUUCCUACCAACUGGAUAAGAGUGCCUGUUUAUUCACAUCCUUGACAACACUAGAAUUAAUAACCUGUUUUAUCUUUUCCAAUCUUAUAGGUAAAAAACUAUUUUGGAGUAAGUUUAGUUUGCAUGCUUUUUAAGUAGAGAAGUUGAAGAUAUUUUGAUGCAUUUAUAGACUUUUUAGAUCUCUUUUUUGUGGGAGCUAUCUAUUCAAAUCCUUUGGUCAUUUUUAUUUCUAUUUUUUCUUUUUAUUUCUCUGUUAAUUUAUAUAUUGAGUAAAUGUCAUCUGCAGAUAUGUCUAUCUGACUUGUCUUUUCUCUUGAGCUUAUAUUAUUUUGGACCUUACAGAAUUUAAAAAUUUUAUGUAGUCAAAUUUAUAAAUCUUUUCCGUAAUGAUCUCUGGGUUUUUUCAUCCAAUACUUUCAUCAUUGGAUUUUAUUUUUUUGUUUACCUUGACAUUCUUAGAUCAUUUGAAAUUUGCUUUGGUGUAAAGUGUGAGGUUGGGGCUUCCCAGGAGGCACUAGU